UCCAGACUCCUACGGGAGGCAGCAGUGGGGGAUAUUGCACAAUGGGGGGAACCCUGAUGCAGCGACGCCGCGUGGGUGAAGGAGCGUUUCGGCGCGUAAAGCCCUAUCGGCAGGGAAGAAGGAGGACGGUACCUGACUAAGAAGCCCCGGCUAACUACGUGCCAGCAGCCGCGGUAAUACGUAGGGGGCAAGCGUUAUCCGGAUUUACUGGGUGUAAAGGGGGCGCAGACGGCAGCGCAAGCCAGGAGUGAAAGCCCGGGGCCCAACCCCGGGACUGCUCUUGGAACUGCGCGGCUGGAGUGCAGGAGGGGCAGGCGGAAUUCCUGGUGUAGCGGUGAAAUGCGUAGAUAUCAGGAGGAACACCGGUGGCGAAGGCGGCCUGCUGGACUGCGACUGACGUUGAGGCCCGAAAGCAUGGGGAGCAAACAGGAUUAGAUACCCCGGUA
RNAcentral lists this ribosomal RNA (446 nucleotides) under uncultured bacterium. RNAcentral describes it as "partial 16S ribosomal RNA". It matches the Rfam family "Bacterial small subunit ribosomal RNA", at positions 330 to 792 of the family's 1533-position model. The record is from RNAcentral.